GAUGAAGAACGUAGCGAAAUGCGAUAAGUAGUGUGAAUUGCAGAAUUCAGUGAAUCAUCGAAUCUUUGAACGCACAUUGCGCCCUUUGGUAUUCCAAAGGACAUGCCUGUUCGAGCGUCAUUUGUACCCUCAAGCUUUGCUUGGUGUUGGGCGUCUUGUCUCUAGCUUUGCUGGAGACUCGCCUUAAAGUAAUUGGCAGCCGGCCUACUGGUUUCGGAGCGCAGCACAAGUCGCACUCUCUAUCAGCAAAGGUCUAGCAUCCAUUAAGCCUUUUUUUUCAACUUUUGACCUCGGAUCAGGUAGGGAUACCCGCUGAACUUAAGCAUAUCAAUAAGCGGAGGA
This 342-nucleotide unclassified non-coding RNA is filed under the name soil metagenome. RNAcentral describes it as "partial contains 5.8S ribosomal RNA, internal transcribed spacer 2, and large subunit ribosomal RNA". The stretch from base 1 to 120 matches the Rfam family "5.8S ribosomal RNA", at positions 35 to 154 of the family's 154-position model. The record is from RNAcentral.